This is a long non-coding RNA of Thalassophryne amazonica, 360 nucleotides long. RefSeq lists it as uncharacterized. The record is from RefSeq and is a predicted model, not a curated record. The transcript is spliced from 2 exons. NCBI's taxonomy places the organism in Eukaryota, Metazoa, Chordata, Actinopteri, Batrachoidiformes, Batrachoididae.
UCUGUCAUUUUGGGCAUGGACGUCGGGCCUCUGAAAAUGCAUACCACACGACAACUGCAUGUUAUUUGCAUUAUUAGCACUUAUGAGUAUUCUGCCCUUUAUAAGUUCAGCUGAGUGAUGUGGUUUUGUACGCUGCCCUGGAUCGCCCUCUGGUGGUUGCUUAGCAUUAGUGUUUUGUUGAUAGUGGAAGGAAAGAAGAAGAAUCCAAGAUGGUGGUACACAGCUCCGGGUUGUUCAUGUGUUGAGCCGAUGUUAACUUAUAACGUUGUUGCCUUGAACAAGAUUUGUCCGUAAGUAUUUUUUAAGACGGCCUAAAGAGGGCAGUGGUCAGAGGCCAUUCUACAAAUAAACCAGCACAAA